GGCCACCGCCCAACCGGUUCAGAGGGCGCUGCGGUUCAGUUUAGCCGUUCUCUCUUAGUUUCAGAGUUAGAAUCUGAGUUUACUUGUGGCGUUGAGGUUGCUUCUACUAUUGAGAAAGACACGCGGAAUCGGGAUUUUGAUUGUCAAUUUCGGGUUGAGGCAGAAAGGACACUGUGACGCGUUUGGGUUAUGAAUUUGCGUUUUGAGGAUAUGGCGCAGAAGUUAUAAAGAGUUCAUUUAGUUGUUGUUGAGAUGCU
Arachis ipaensis is the source of this 257-nucleotide non-coding RNA. Lineage: Eukaryota; Viridiplantae; Streptophyta; Magnoliopsida; Fabales; Fabaceae. The record is from RefSeq and is a predicted model, not a curated record.